UGAUUGAUAUCUAUUGAUGAU
Caenorhabditis elegans is the source of this 21-nucleotide non-coding RNA. The record is from Ensembl. Lineage: Eukaryota; Metazoa; Nematoda; Chromadorea; Rhabditida; Rhabditidae.